RNAcentral lists this long non-coding RNA (3626 nucleotides) under Capsicum annuum. Its description in RNAcentral is "long non-coding RNA (CANN_LNC001977)". The record is from RNAcentral. Lineage: Eukaryota; Viridiplantae; Streptophyta; Magnoliopsida; Solanales; Solanaceae.
UCUAGGGUUUCGAUGUCAGUGUGAGUGUGAGCUCUAUUAAUAAGUGGCUCAGAUCUCUUCCGCCUGGUUCGUCUUUUAUUUGUUCACUAGAAGACGUCGAAAACGAUCUAGAAAUUAUUAAGAUGUCCCAAUUGGCCAUUGACAAAUACAAUUCUGACAAGGUAAGCUUAUGUCCGUACGUAUAUCCUCAUUCAAUUGUUUGUGAUUGAUUGAGAUAUUCAAUUCAGGGUCGAGAUUACAAAUUUGUGAAAAUUCUGAAAGCCAACCAAUGGAUUCUAGGAGUGAUAUUGUAUUAUAUCACAUUCGUUGCCUAAUAUAAUAAUAAUUUUGACACCCUUCAAGCACAGGUAUGGGAGAAACCGGGAGGAGAAAAAUAUGAGGUGGACUUUUGCAGGCUUAAAGGUAACUUACCUUAGCUAGCCUGUUACUACUUAUAUUAUAUAUAUACCUUUGGUUUUUGAGGGUAUCCACUCGCAGUAUGGACUGCGGACACUUUACCAUCCCAUAACCCACUUUGUGGGAAUACGCUUGGUAUGUUGUUGUGGGGAUUUAGUGUCGAACCAUACAUGUCUAUAGUGACGAGUGUAUUGUCAUAAAGUCAUGCAUCCUUCAAGUGUUCCAAUACGCAAUUCGGGUAUUAGGUAGUCUCGAGAUUAUUUAUCCCACUGUUUGUACCAUAGUGAUGUAUAUAAGUUAUCCCGAGAUAGCUAAUCAUGACAUAAAUAAUCCCUUCUACCUUAGCUAGCCUGUUACUACUUAUAUUAUAUAUAUAUAUAACUUGGGUUUUUGAGGGUAUCUACUCGCAGGCGAGUAUGGACUGCUUAACUUUACCAUCCCAGAACCCACUUUGUGGGAAUUCACUGGUUAUGUUGUUGCGGGGAUAUGGUGUCCAACCAUUCAUGUCAUUUGGAAAGGGGUGGGUGGGUGGACCGACUUCAUCUUCCAAAUUCCUCACGGCAACCAAACGACCUCUUGAUGGAUUUAUUUGCUUUGGUCUUAUCUGAACACACAACAAUAUUUCAAAAUUCUCUAGUCUAGUCCACAAUUUUGGAAUAACUUAGCCAAUUUUUUGCCUUUUUCUUUUGCUAUAGAGGCUUUGACAUGCUUGAAAAUUCAGGUCCAUGUGCAUACAAGUCUUUGGUGUGUGUAGUUGAACAUCAAUUCUUCAAUUGUUAUGCAUGACUCUGUUAUUUGUGAUUGUUUUUUCACAUCAAAUAAUGUUAUACGUAAAAAAAAAAAAAAAAUUAUAUUGCUAAUAUGGUUUGUCUUGAACUCUGUUAGAAAUAGUGUCUAUCCACCUCCCAAGUUAGAGGCAAGGUUUGCGUACGCUUGUGUUUUGCGAAAGAAAGGUCUGUAUUUUCUGGUUCAAUGUUUCUUGCUAUGUUCACAGGUUGGAACAUAUAAUCCCCCGCAGUUUUGAUGAUUGGAGUGGUAGAUGGCUCUUUUUGCUAUGUUGAGGUUGGAAUUGUCAAGUUCUUUUGUUAUAUACGGACAAGUAAUUAUGAGAAAAAUGAUGUUUUGAAUUUGUUUUGUGUCAACCCUACUUUGGUUUUGAUCUUUGUUAUACUUAGAUGGCAAGUGAUGAGAUAUCUUCUGAUUCUUGUUAAGACCACUUUUGUCUACUUGUGUUAUUACUAAGACAAGGGAACAAGUAUUGGUGACGUUGUCUUUUAGUCUCGUACUUAUUCUGAGAAUAUAAUGAUGUUAUUUGUGUUACAAGCUAACACUGGAGAUAGAUAGUGUUGUGAUGUUAUGAUUCUUGUUAUGUUUGAUGAUGAAUACCUUGGGUUGUUUCGCUUCUAUCUAUGGUAGGGUAGUAUUUUGUUUUAAUUUAGGAUUAAUACAUAAACUGCCCUCUGAGAUUGCACCCAUUUCAAUUGUGGUUUCAAGAUUCUACAUUCUCUUGUUCAUGAUUGUACGAGACAUCCUUUGGUAGUAGAAGAUUCUUUUUGAUGUUGCAUGAAAGAUGAAUAAGUUAUAGGGUGAUUUCUUUCUCAGUGUCCAAGUCACGAUGGAUAGAGUUAUCUAGUUUCGAUACUUAUAGUGAUGGUGUAUGGAAGGUAACUCGUGAAAUAAUUGAUGCAUUCAAACUAUACACUUGACACCGUUAGUCUAUGUAAACUUGUGUUUUGUUGAAUCAAGAAUGUAAUGGUAUUUAUAUCUUUUCAACUGCUUUUGAAGUAUAUGAUUCUCCUUAAUCUUGAACUUCUUUUCGUACGCCAUUGCCUCCGAAUCUCCCAGCAUCUGUUUCGAGCUGUUGUUUGUUACAACUAACUUGUUUAGGAGUGUUUUAGAAACUCUUGAGUUUGAUGUAGCUUGAUGGAUUUAUUUGUCUCAUUCUUAUCGCAACACACACAACAUUUCAAAAUGCUCUAUUGGAAAUAAUAUUAUGUCGUCGUUUUGUAUAAAAAAAAUUCUAUUCCCUUGUGAUUGUGAACUUGUGUUUCGCGAGAGAAAAUUCUGUAUUUUCUGGUUCAAUGUUUCUUGCUAUAUUCAAGUUGGAACUGUCAAAUUCUUUUGUUAUAUGUAGACAAGUAAUGAAGAGAAAAAUGAUGCUUUUAACUUGUUUCGCGUCAACCCUACUCUGGUUUUCUUUGUUAUACUUAUUUUUUUUCUAAUAUUUUGCAGGUGAUGAGAUACCUCCUGAUUACGAUACUAACAAAUACGGACUCAAAUAUAAUCCCCGCACUUAUGAUGAUUGAAAUGGUAGAUGGCUUUUUUGCAAUGUUGAGGUUGAAACUGUCAAAUUCUUUUGUUAUAUAUAUAGACAAGUAAUGAUGAGAAAAGUGAUGUUUUAGAUUCUUUGUUCAAGUCACGAUGGACAGAGUUAUCUGAUUCUGAUACUUAUAUUGAUGGUGUACAGAAGAUAACUCGUGAAAUUAAUUGAUGCAUUCGAACUAUACACUUGACACCUUUAAGUCUAUAUAAACUUGUGUUUUGUUGAAUCAAGAAUGUACAGAUAUGUAUUAUAUCUUUUCAAUUUCUUUUGAAGUUUAGGAUGCUUUUCAAUUUGGAAGUGAUCAAUAUGUAUAUAAGAAGUUCAAUUCUUCACGUAUAUAUAUUUUGAUAAAUCUUAUAUAUUUUUUUUUUUUCCAAUUCUAGCUAACCAUAAACUUUCAAGAAAAAAGACAGUCUUUGCUCUAAAGCCGUGACUAAGUGCAUAUUGGCUUGUGUAAAAAAAUAAAUUUAUAUAUAUAUGUAUUGCCGAGAGCACAGCCCAAGCGUGACGCUUUCCUUUUCACAAUAGUACGAUUUUCUCCUAUUUGUCUAGCUCUUUCGAUGAUCACUAUAGCAUUUUCAGUACCAAGCACAACGGAGUCCGUGUUCGUGUAACAACAAUCAUCUCAAGAGAUGUAAGGGUAAGAUGUAUCUUAGUGUACGCAGUUAUAGCUGCCGAUGUCUGGACCACCGCGUUCUUUGUGUUGGACCAUUUCCCGAAGGUCGAGUUUAUACUGACAUGGUAGGAAGCGAGGUUGAUAUAUAUAUAUAUAUAUAUAUAUACUAGUUUAGGUGUACGCGUCUUGCGCGUGUAUCAUGAGUUCAAACAUUACAGUAAAUAGGAUGAUUGUUUAAAUACUAAAGAUGAAUAUAAUAAUUAAAUUUAAUAACUUUUGAGUAUAUAAAGA